This 229-nucleotide unclassified non-coding RNA is filed under the name plant metagenome. RNAcentral's name for it is "partial contains small subunit ribosomal RNA, internal transcribed spacer 1, and 5.8S ribosomal RNA". The record is from RNAcentral.
UCUCCGUAGGUGAACCUGCGGAGGGAUCAUUACAGAGUUCAUGCCCUACCGGGUAGAUCUCCCACCCUAUGUUAUUAUUACUUUGUUGCUUUGGCGGGCCGUUAGGCUCCGGCCCGACUACCGGCCCCGGCUGGUAAGCGCCCGCCAGAGGACCCAAAACCCUGAAUAUUAGUGUCGUCUGAGUACUAUAUAGUAGUUAAAACUUUCAACAACGGAUCUCUUGGUUCUG